Molecule: ribosomal RNA, 308 nt
Filed under: uncultured bacterium
Lineage: Bacteria
Description: bacterial SSU rRNA
Rfam family: Bacterial small subunit ribosomal RNA
Source: RNAcentral
AUUGAACGCUGGCGGCAGGCCUAACACAUGCAAGUCGAGCGGUAGCACAGAGAGCUUGCUCUCGGGUGACGAGCGGCGGACGGGUGAGUAAUGUCUGGGAAACUGCCUGAUGGAGGGGGAUAACUACUGGAAACGGUAGCUAAUACCGCAUAAUGUCGCAAGACCAAAGAGGGGGACCUUCGGGCCUCUUGCCAUCGGAUGUGCCCAGAUGGGAUUAGCUAGUAGGUGGGGUAAAGGCUCACCUAGGCGACGAUCCCUAGCUGGUCUGAGAGGAUGACCAGCCACACUGGAACUGAGGCACGGUCCAG